RNAcentral lists this ribosomal RNA (406 nucleotides) under uncultured bacterium. Its description in RNAcentral is "partial 16S ribosomal RNA". It matches the Rfam family "Bacterial small subunit ribosomal RNA", at positions 30 to 526 of the family's 1533-position model. The record is from RNAcentral.
AUUGAACGCUGGCGGCAGGCCUAACACAUGCAAGUCGAGCGAGCGGCGGACGGGUGAGUAAUGUCUGGGAAACUGCCUGAUGGAGGGGGAUAACUACUGGAAACGGUAGCUAAUACCGCAUACCAUCAGAUGUGCCCAGAUGGGAUUAGCUAGUAGGUGGGGUAACGGCUCACCAAGGCGACGAUCCCUAGCUGGUCUGAGCGGAUGACCAGACACAUUGGAACUGAGACACGGUCCAGACGCCUACGGGAGGCAGCAGGAGGGAAUAUUGCACAAGGGGCGAAAGCCUGAUGGAGCCAUGCCGCGUGAGUGAAGAAGGCCUUCGGAUUGUAAAACUCUUUCAGCGGGGAGGCGUUACCCAAAGAGAAAGCACCGGCUAACUCCGUGCCAGCCGCCGCGGUAAUUC